GGGGGCAAGAGGUUCGACCCGAGCGAAGCGAGAGAACGUUGCGUCAGCAACGGCCCGCAGGGCGAGCCACGCAGUGGCGAGUCAUCCUCUAUCACCGACCA
Molecule: small RNA, 101 nt
Filed under: Salmonella enterica
Lineage: Bacteria; Pseudomonadati; Pseudomonadota; Gammaproteobacteria; Enterobacterales; Enterobacteriaceae
Also listed under: 3 other names
Description: partial RtT sRNA
Rfam family: RtT RNA
About the family: This family represents a bacterial cis-regulatory element known as RtT RNA. The exact function of RtT is unknown although it is thought that it may be involved in changing the cellular response in relation to amino acid starvation.
Source: RNAcentral